CCUACGGGUGGCUGCAGUGAGGAAUAUUGGUCAAUGGGCGCGAGCCUGAACCAGCCAAGUCGCGUGAGGGAUGAAGGAUCUAUGGUUUGUAAACUUCUUUUAUAUGGGAAUAAAGUGCGGAACGUGUUGCGCUUUGUAUGUACCUUAUGAAUAAGCAUCGGCUAACUCCGUGCCAGCAGCCGCGGUAAUACGGAGGAUGCGAGCGUUAUCCGGAUUUAUUGGGUUUAAAGGGUGCGUAGGUGGUUAAUUAAGUCAGCGGUGAAAGUUUGUGGCUCAACCAUAAAAUUGCCGUUGAAACUGGGUGACUUGAGUAUAUUUGAGGUAGGCGGAAUGCGUGGUGUAGCGGUGAAAUGCAUAGAUAUCACGCAGAACCCCGAUUGCGAAGGCAGCUUGCCAAGCUAUAACUGACGCUGAAGCACGAAAGCGUGGGGAUCGAACAGGAUUAGAUACCCUGGUAGUC
Molecule: ribosomal RNA, 460 nt
Filed under: uncultured bacterium
Lineage: Bacteria
Description: partial 16S ribosomal RNA
Rfam family: Bacterial small subunit ribosomal RNA
Source: RNAcentral